RNAcentral lists this ribosomal RNA (497 nucleotides) under uncultured bacterium. RNAcentral describes it as "partial 16S ribosomal RNA". It matches the Rfam family "Bacterial small subunit ribosomal RNA", at positions 28 to 507 of the family's 1533-position model. The record is from RNAcentral.
GAUGAACGCUGGCGGCGUGCCUAAUACAUGCAAGUCGAGCGAACAGACGAGGAGCUUGCUCCUCUGACGUUAGCGGCGGACGGGUGAGUAACACGUGGAUAACCUACCUAUAAGACUGGGAUAACUUCGGGAAACCGGAGCUAAUACCGGAUAAUAUAUUGAGCCGCAUGGUUCAACAGUGAAAGACGGUUUUGCUGUCACUUAUAGAUGGAUCCGCGCCGCAUUAGCUAGUUGGUAAGGUAACGGCUUACCAAGGCAACGAUGCGUAGCCGACCUGAGAGGGUGAUCGGCCACACUGGAACUGAGACACGGUCCAGACUCCUACGGGAGGCAGCAGUAGGGAAUCUUCCGCAAUGGGCGAAAGCCUGACGGAGCAACGCCGCGUGAGUGAUGAAGGUCUUCGGAUCGUAAAACUCUGUUAUUAGGGAAGAACAAAUGUGUAAGUAACUAUGCACGUCUUGACGGUACCUAAUCAGAAAGCCACGGCUAACUACGUG